GUGAUGUAGCAAUACAUCACCUAGAGUGUCGUAAGGGUGCGUAACAAGUAUGCAAUCUGCCCUCAACAGGAGGAUAGCUCCCCGAAAGGGGAAUUAACACUCCAUAAGAUUGUGGAACGGCAUCGUUCAGCAAUUAAAACUACGGUGGUUGAGGAUGAGCAUGCUUCUGAUUAGCUAGUUGGUGGUGUAAUGGACCACCAAGGCGAUGAUCAGUAGGGGAACUGAGAGGUUGAUCCCCCACACUGGCACUGAGAUACGGGCCAGACUCCUACGGGAGGCAGCAGUAGGGAAUAUUGGUCAAUGGGUGAGAGCCUGAACCAGCCAUGCCGCGUGCAGGAAGACGGCCUUCUGGGUUGUAAACUGCUUUUACCGGGGGAUAAAAUUCCCAUGCGUGGGACAUUGAAGGUACCCGGUGAAUAAGCCACGGCUAACUACGUGCCAGCAGCCGCGGUAAUACGUAGGUGGCAAGCGUUGUCCGGAUUUAUUGGGUUUAAAGGGUGCGUAGGCGGCUUUUUAAGUCAGUGCUGAAAUAUCCCGGCUUAACCGGGAGGGUGGCAUUGAUACUGGAAGGCUUGAGUGAAGUCGAAGUAGGCGGAAUUGACGGUGUAGCGGUGAAAUGCUUAGAUAUCGUCAAGAACACCGAUAGUGUAGACAGUUUACUAGGCUUUAACUGACGCUGAGGCACGAAAGUGUGGGGAUCAAACAGGAUUAGAUACCCUGGUAGUCCACACUGUAAACGUUGAUUACUCGAUGUUGGCGAUACACAGUCAGCGUCUUAGCGCAAGCGGUAAGUAAUCCACCCGGGGAGUACGCCGGCAACGGUGAAACUCAAAGGAAUUGACGGGGGUCCGCACAAGCGGUGGAGCAUGUGGGUUAACUCGAUGAUACGCGAGGAACCUUACCUGGGCUAGAAUGCU
Molecule: ribosomal RNA, 917 nt
Filed under: uncultured bacterium
Lineage: Bacteria
Description: bacterial SSU rRNA
Rfam family: Bacterial small subunit ribosomal RNA
Source: RNAcentral